ACCUUCUCCUCCAGCUCUGUUCCUCUGACAAUCAGGAAUCUGCAAGUGUCUGACUCUGCUGUCUACUACUGUGCCCUGCAGCCCAAAGCCUUGCAAACAUGUUUGAAAGGUUCAGUUCAAGCUGUAUUUGUUUUCUGGAGAUGACGUUAACAAUGCUACUCUACAGAGUUCUUUGGCUCAGCAUCCUAACAGGUGUUUGCACAGGACAGAAAAUUACUUCAGACAGAACUGAAGUGUUCCCAGAGGAAGGAGUGAAUGUUAGCUUGUCCUGUAGCUACUCCUCUGCAGAGUCUCUCCAGUGUGUGAAAUGUGGGAAUGAAAAUCAGCUCCUCGGCAUCUCAUCAGUACUGUGAGGCAAAAACAGACUUCAGCUGUAGAUCCUCGUCUGUCUUCAAAGGUACUGACUACAAGUGGAUGGGGCGGAGUCAGGAAAUGUGUGUGUGUGUAAAGAAGGUGUCGAGAUGCUUGCAGUCACUCUGUCAGUGCUGGCUAAUCAUGAUGGUACUUGGUGCAUUCCUGCUCUUAUCUCUCUUAAUAGGAGAAUCUGUUGGGAAUACUAUAACACUCUCUCAUUCCUCAGUGGUCAUCAAUGAGGGAGAAAGUGUCACUUUCUCCUGUAACUACAGCAGUAGUGAUGUCAGUAACUUGCAGUGGUAUCGGCAAUAUCCCAACUCUAUCCCAGAGUUCCUCUACUACAUAUAUGAGGCUGGUACCACUUCAGACCCAGUUCCCCGUCUGACUCCCUCCAUAAAGACAGAGGAAAAGCGUGUGUUUCUGGAGCUCUCCUCUGCAGAGGCGUCUGACUCUGCUGUGUACUACUGCGCCCUGGUGCCCACAGUGACAGGAACUCAGACUCUGCUGUACAAAAACCUCUCAGAUGUGCAGGAGGAGGGAGAUUCAACAUGUCCCCUUCACAGACAGAGAAUCUGUUGGGAAUACUAUAACACCCUCGCAUUCUUCACUGAUCGUCAUCGAGGAAGAAGCUGUUACUUUCUCCUGUAACUACAGUGGUAGUGUCACUAACUUGCAAUGGUAUCGGCAGUAUCCCAACUCCAUCCCAGAGUUCCUCUACUACAUAUAUGUGGCUGGUACCACUUCAGACCC
Non-coding RNA from Alosa sapidissima (American shad), 1104 nucleotides. NCBI's taxonomy places the organism in Eukaryota, Metazoa, Chordata, Actinopteri, Clupeiformes, Clupeidae. The record is from the annotation of a RefSeq genome assembly.